AACUAACGCUGGCGGCGUGCCUAACACAUGCAAGUCGUACGAGAAAGUCGGCUUCGGCCGAUAAGUAAAGUGGCGCACGGGUGAGUAACGCGUGGGUAAUCUGCCCCCCGGUCAGGAAUAACCCGCCGAAAGGCGGGCUAAUACCCGAUAACACUGACGCUCUGCGGAGCGUCUUUCAAAGAAGGCCUCUGUUUACAAGUUUUCACCGGAGGAUGAGCCCGCGUACCAUUAGCUAGUUGGCAGGGUAAUGGCCUACCAAGGCGACGAUGGUUAGCGGGUCUGAGAGGAUGAUCCGCCACACUGGAACUGAAACACGGACCAGACUCCUACGGGUGGCUG
This 339-nucleotide ribosomal RNA is filed under the name uncultured bacterium. RNAcentral describes it as "bacterial SSU rRNA". It matches the Rfam family "Bacterial small subunit ribosomal RNA", at positions 29 to 351 of the family's 1533-position model. The record is from RNAcentral.